Molecule: ribosomal RNA, 508 nt
Filed under: Candida albicans
Lineage: Eukaryota; Fungi; Ascomycota; Pichiomycetes; Serinales; Debaryomycetaceae
Description: eukaryotic LSU rRNA
Rfam family: 5.8S ribosomal RNA (bases 141-294)
Source: RNAcentral
AAAAGAAUGCUUAUUGCACCACAUGUGUUUUUCUUUGAAACAAACUUGCUUUGGCGGUGGGCCCAGCCUGCCGCCAGAGGUCUAAACUUACAACCAAUUUUUUAUCAACUUGUCACACCAGAUUAUUACUUAAUAGUCAAAACUUUCAACAACGGAUCUCUUGGUUCUCGCAUCGAUGAAGAACGCAGCGAAAUGCGAUACGUAAUAUGAAUUGCAGAUAUUCGUGAAUCAUCGAAUCUUUGAACGCACAUUGCGCCCUCUGGUAUUCCGGAGGGCAUGCCUGUUUGAGCGUCGUUUCUCCCUCAAACCGCUGGGUUUGGUGUUGAGCAAUACGACUUGGGUUUGCUUGAAAGACGGUAGUGGUAAGGCGGGAUCGCUUUGACAAUGGCUUAGGUCUAACCAAAAACAUUGCUUGCGGCGGUAACGUCUACCACGUAUAUCUUCAAACUUUGACCUCAAAUCAGGUAGGACUACCCGCUGAACUUAAGCAUAUCAAAAGUCGGAGGAA